AGUCAAACUUGAUUUAUUAUUACAAUAGUCAAAACUUUCAACAACGGAUCUCUUGGUUCUCGCAUCGAUGAAGAACGCAGCGAAAUGCGAUACGUAAUAUGAAUUGCAGAUAUUCGUGAAUCAUCGAAUCUUUGAACGCACAUUGCGCCCUUUGGUAUUCCAAAGGGCAUGCCUGUUUGAGCGUCAUUUCUCCCUCAAACCCCCGGGUUUGGUGUUGAGCAAUACGCUAGGUUUGUUUGAAAGAAUUUAACGUGGAAACUUAUUUUAAGCGACUUAGGUUUAUCCAAAAACGCUUAUUUUGCUAGUGGCCACCACAAUUAUUUCAUAACUUGACCUCAA
This 339-nucleotide ribosomal RNA is filed under the name Candida tropicalis. Its description in RNAcentral is "eukaryotic LSU rRNA". The stretch from base 33 to 186 matches the Rfam family "5.8S ribosomal RNA". The record is from RNAcentral. Lineage: Eukaryota; Fungi; Ascomycota; Pichiomycetes; Serinales; Debaryomycetaceae.